AUGUAAUAUUACAGGAUAGUGGAUCUUAUAGCAUAGUAGUGGUUGCUAUAAGAUCCACUAUCCUGUAAUAUUACAUAU
This 78-nucleotide microRNA precursor is filed under the name Podarcis lilfordi (Lilford's wall lizard). The record is from RNAcentral. Lineage: Eukaryota; Metazoa; Chordata; Lepidosauria; Squamata; Lacertidae.